GUUCAGCCUCUGGAGGAGCUGGUUGGAUUUCUUACGUAUGGAAGUGGCGAGAAGGCAGUUUUGUCUUUUCAGGACGAAGGUUUGACCUAGAGGAAGUCAGCCCUGUGUCAACAAGGAGACACAUCCCCUGGCGGGAGCCACCAGGACAAUAGAGACUGAUCCACAGUUUAUGCAGGAGUGACGAAUCCCCUUGCAAGCAUCUGUAGCUUGCUUCUAGUUCAUGGGCUUUGUCACAAUUCUUUACAUGCUCCCCAAACCUAUGUAUCUGGAACAGUGUGGAGAUGGCCUUUCAUUUUUCUUCAUCUGGAUUCUUCAGCCCAAGCAUGAAGCUUAGCUUAGAAGGAAGAAAACCUGGGGAGGGGAAGGUUUUUUUUCUUUUUCUUUUUAUACAUUUCCUGUGUUGAUUCCAAACUCAGGGAACACCCACCCUAAAAUCCUUUAGGUCAUGGUGGGGUCAGGGCGAGGUACUUACAUAACUGGUGCUCACACACUGGAAGGCCUUUUCUGGAAAGCAUGUAGUGCCUUUCACAUGGACAUAAGGAAAGGUUGGGCAGGAGAUUUCUUGAUGAAGUCAAAGGAUUUAAAUUAAAAUUUGUGAAACAAAAAAAAAUAUACCCAGGAGAGCAAUGCUAAACUAUUGCCAUGGAGACCAACAGGACUUUGUUGACUUUCAAGCUAUUCGUGGAACUCCUGGGUCUGGCAACUAGGACUGGAGGCGAGGAAGAGAAAGAAGAAUCCAAUACCUGCACGGACACCUACAGGAGUCACAACCAACAUCUCCUAAGAGGUGACAGAUGUGGCUGGCUCCUACCAGCCUCCAUCUUCCACAC
This is a long non-coding RNA of Myotis brandtii (Brandt's bat), 830 nucleotides long. RefSeq lists it as uncharacterized. The transcript has 3 exons. Lineage: Eukaryota; Metazoa; Chordata; Mammalia; Chiroptera; Vespertilionidae. The record is from RefSeq and is a predicted model, not a curated record.